RNAcentral lists this unclassified non-coding RNA (367 nucleotides) under uncultured bacterium. RNAcentral's name for it is "contains 16S-23S intergenic spacer region". The record is from RNAcentral.
UCUCCCGUGAGGGAGCAGUCUCGCCUGGCCAUAUAGGCAACAGGCAACGGGGGUUGCGUUCGUUACCCCACUGAAGGGAACAGUUCAAACCACGAACUGACGACGACCAUGCAUCACCUGUGCAACACCCUCGAAGGCUCCCAAAUUUUCAUAAGGGAUGCAGUUGCAUUUCUAACCUUGGUAAGGUUCUUCGUUUGUCGACGAAUUGAGCCACAUAAUCCACCGCUUGUGCGAGUCCCCGUCUAUUCCUUUGAGUUUUAACCUUGCGGCCGUACUCCCCAGGCGGGGCACUUAAUGCGUUAGCGACGGCGCGGAUUCCGUUGGUUGGAACCCACACCUAGUGCCCAACGUUUACGGCAUGGACUAC